ACCCUGUUAACAGUUCGUGUGAAACACAUAAGUUACAAAGUUGCAAAGAUUUGCAAACAUUUAUAAAGUUACUACAUACGUAAUAACUUUUACGUAUUUAACUAUUAUAAUAACACACUUGUAAAAGAGGGGAGAGCAGAGACUGAAGAUGAGACCUCUUUGACAAGCUUGAGCAUGUGCAGUUAUGAGUGUACAUAAGUGAAUGGACGGUUGUUAAAAGGAUGGAUGUGGGACUAAAAUUUCAUAAAAUUGAGUUAAUAACACACUUGUAAAAGAGGGGAGAGCAGAGAUUGAAGGCCUCUUUGACAAGCAUGUGCAGUUAUGAGUGGACGAUUGUUAAAAGGAUGGAUGUGAGACUAAAAUUUCAUAAAACUGAGUUAAUAACACACUUGUAAAAGAGGGGAGAGCAGAGAUUGAAGACCUCUUUGACAAGCAUGUGCAGUUAUGAGUGGACGAUUGUUAAAAGUCUGGAUUCAAUGGCGUGCUCUCUUGCUCCUCCCACCUGAACUAAGUCUCCGAGAUCGGACCCGGCGGCAGUGAAGUUGAGAUGGCACAGGAAUGGCAGUCGAUCUUCCCUCGGCCGGCGGACUUCCACCCUGUAGGUCCGGCCGACGUCGCCGUACAACGUUCUGUUGCACGCUGCAACACCACGUGCACAAAGAUAAAAAUCCUUCCUCUCCUCGUGAGAUCUACGACCGCCGUUUCGCCUCUUAUUUUUCCACGCGAGAUGCGAGGGACGGGCAAUCUGACGUUUCCAUAGCUCGCACAAUGGACACGACAAUUUUCGCGCUCGAUGAAAACACACUCCGGCGAGUGCUAGUUCCAGCGUCCAAGUGAUUGAAUUUUAAUCGACAUACUACGUUCGUAAAACAAGAUGGACUUGGGCCACUUUCAAAAUAAACGGCUCAAAUCUUAGCCAAUUAAUUUCCUACGUACAAAAUCUUAGUGACUUUAAAUGUGUUAGUUGCAAUUUGUUUAAAAACGUAGAGAUGUAAAUAUUAAAGCAGCUAACUUAAUUUUUUUUUUUUUUAGAAGAUGGACUUGGGCCACUUUCAAAAUAAACGGCUCAAAUCUUAGCCAAUUAAUUUCCUACGUACAAAAUCUUAGUGACUUUAAAUGUAAGAUGGACUUGGGCCAAUUUCAAAAUAAACGGCUCGAAUCUUUGAUUUCGGAGUGACGAAAACGGUGAGUAAUAAAGGGGGGGAGAGGGGGAUUUUAAUUGAAUGAAAAUCGCGAACCGAGAGGGAGGAAUCGAACGAAACGAAACGGAUAUCAGAUAAAAAGGACUCACGGGUGCAAUAUUUCGGCUCGUCGGAGUUGUCGCCGCAGUCAUUUUCGCCGUCGCAGUAUUUGUCCUGGGCGACGCAGUUCCCGGUGCCACAUCGGUACUCGGAUGGCCUGCAAAUGGAAUGCAAAUAAAACGUGCAAUAUAUCCUUUCGAAUUCACCACGAUAUACGGCAGAUAUAUACACAUAUACACACAUAUAUAUCGUUUUGGUUCGACGCGGUGGACACGCGUACGAUUUAAUGGCGGACCAUCGGCUGGAUACGAUCGACGUGAUUUUGAAUCACGAUUUUUCCUAUUUUCGCAAGCGUCGCCAAGCGGAAAGCGCGACGGGAGAGGAGAAUAAGAGUAAGAAAAUAUCGAUCACCAAAGCAAACAUUCGACACCGGGAACGAUUUUAAAUUUGCCGCGUGAAAAAGGUGAAAGGCUGUUUCAUAAAAUGCGGCGGCGACAGUUUCAUCAAGGGGAAUCGUCAUGCUUUGUUUGGCUUCGUUUCAGAAUUGUUACAAAGUUAUGCUUCUGAUGUUAACUGCUUCGCUAUUUUUUUUGAAAACAAAAGGGAGCAGAUUGAGUUAUUAAAAUUAUACCUUUCACGUUAACUGGUCGUCUAUUUAAAA
This is a long non-coding RNA of Frieseomelitta varia, 1902 nucleotides long. RefSeq lists it as uncharacterized. The transcript has 6 exons. Lineage: Eukaryota; Metazoa; Arthropoda; Insecta; Hymenoptera; Apidae. The record is from RefSeq and is a predicted model, not a curated record.